UUUCCUACGGGAGGCUGCAGUGGGGAAUAUUGGACAAUGGGGGAAACCCUGAUCCAGCGACGCCGCGUGUGUGAAGAAGGCCUGCGGGUUGUAAAGCACUUUCGGUGGGAACGAAAUAUGUCGGGUCAAUACCCCGGCAGGCUGACGUUACCCAAUGAAGAAGCACCGGCUAACUCUGUGCCAGCAGCCGCGGUAAUACAGAGGGUGCGAGCGUUAAUCGGAAUUACUGGGCGUAAAGCGCACGUAGGCGGCUUCGUAAGUCGGGUGUGAAAUCCCCGGGCUCAACCUGGGAACUGCAUUCGAGACUGCGAUUCUUGAGUAUGGGAGAGGACAGCGGAAUUCCGGGUGUAGCGGUGAAAUGCGUAGAUAUCCGGAGGAACAUCAGUGGCGAAGGCGGCUGUCUGGCCCAAUACUGACGCUCAGGUGCGAAAGCGUGGGGAGCAAACAGGAUUAGAUACCCGUGUAGUCC
This 469-nucleotide ribosomal RNA is filed under the name uncultured Sinobacteraceae bacterium. Its description in RNAcentral is "bacterial SSU rRNA". It matches the Rfam family "Bacterial small subunit ribosomal RNA", at positions 335 to 796 of the family's 1533-position model. Lineage: Bacteria; Pseudomonadati; Pseudomonadota; Gammaproteobacteria; Nevskiales; Nevskiaceae. The record is from RNAcentral.